RNAcentral lists this ribosomal RNA (745 nucleotides) under uncultured bacterium. RNAcentral's name for it is "bacterial SSU rRNA". It matches the Rfam family "Bacterial small subunit ribosomal RNA", at positions 33 to 773 of the family's 1533-position model. The record is from RNAcentral.
ACGCUGGCGGCAGGCCUAACACAUGCAAGUCGAGCGGUAGAGAGAAGCUUGCUUCUCUUGAGAGCGGCGGACGGGUGAGUAAUGCCUAGGAAUCUGCCUGGUAGUGGGGGAUAACGUUCGGAAACGGACGCUAAUACCGCAUACGUCCUACGGGAGAAAGCAGGGGACCUUCGGGCCUUGCGCUAUCAGAUGAGCCUAGGUCGGAUUAGCUAGUUGGUGAGGUAAUGGCUCACCAAGGCGACGAUCCGUAACUGGUCUGAGAGGAUGAUCAGUCACACUGGAACUGAGACACGGUCCAGACUCCUACGGGAGGCAGCAGUGGGGAAUAUUGGACAAUGGGCGAAAGCCUGAUCCAGCCAUGCCGCGUGUGUGAAGAAGGUCUUCGGAUUGUAAAGCACUUUAAGUUGGGAGGAAGGGUUGUAGAUUAAUACUCUGCAAUUUUGACGUUACCGACAGAAUAAGCACCGGCUAACUCUGUGCCAGCAGCCGCGGUAAUACAGAGGGUGCAAGCGUUAAUCGGAAUUACUGGGCGUAAAGCGCGCGUAGGUGGUUUGUUAAGUUGGAUGUGAAAUCCCCGGGCUCAACCUGGGAACUGCAUUCAAAACUGACUGACUAGAGUAUGGUAGAGGGUGGCGGAAUUUCCUGUGUAGCGGUGAAAUGCGUAGAUAUAGGAAGGAACACCAGUGGCGAAGGCGACCACCUGGACUAAUACUGACACUGAGGUGCGAAAGCGUGGGGAGCAAAC